CCUACGGGAGGCAGCAGUGAGGAAUAUUGGUCAAUGGGCGCGAGCCUGAACCAGCCAAGUCGCGUGAGGGAUGAAGGUUCUAUGGAUCGUAAACCCCUUUUAUAGGGGAGUAAAGUGUGGGACGUGUCCUAUUUUGUAUGUACCUUAUGAAUAUGGAUCGGCUCACUCCGUGCCAGCAGCCGCGGUAAGACGGAGGAUACGAGCGUUAUACGGAUUUAUUGGGUUUAACGGGUGCGUAGGCGGCCUUUUAAGUCAUCGGUGAAAGUCUGUGGCUUAACCUUAGAAUUGCUGUUGAAACUAGGGGGCUUGAGUAUGUUUGAGGCAUGCGGAAUGCGUGGUGUAGCGGUGAAAUGCGUAGAUAUCACGAAGAACCCCGAUAGCGAAGGCAGCCUGCCAAGCCAUGACUGACGCUGAUGCACGAAAGCGUGGGGAGCAAACAGGAUUAGAUACCCGUGUAGUC
Molecule: ribosomal RNA, 460 nt
Filed under: uncultured bacterium
Lineage: Bacteria
Description: partial 16S ribosomal RNA
Rfam family: Bacterial small subunit ribosomal RNA
Source: RNAcentral